RNAcentral lists this ribosomal RNA (447 nucleotides) under uncultured bacterium. RNAcentral's name for it is "bacterial SSU rRNA". It matches the Rfam family "Bacterial small subunit ribosomal RNA", at positions 355 to 825 of the family's 1533-position model. The record is from RNAcentral.
UGGGGAACCUUGGACAAUGGGCGCAAGCCUGAUCCAGCCAUGCCGCGUGAGUGAUGAGGGCCUUAGGGUUGUAAAGCUCUUUUGCCGGGGACGAUAAUGACGGUACCCGGAGAAUAAGUCCCGGCUAACUUCGUGCCAGCAGCCGCGGUAAUACGAAGGGGACUAGCGUUGUUCGGAAUCACUGGGCGUAAAGCGCACGUAGGCGGAUUUGUAAGUCAGGGGUGAAAUCCCGAGGCUCAACCUCGGAACUGCCUCCAAAACUGGCGACCUGGAGCAAGAUAGAGGCGAGUGGAAUUCCGAGUGUAGAGGUGAAAUUCGUAGAUAUUCGGAGGAACACCAGUGGCGAAGGCGACUCGCUGGAUCUUUGCUGACGCUGAGACGCGAAAGCGUGGGGAGCAAACAGGAUUAGAUACCCGCGUAGUCCCUGAGCGGGCUGGCAAGGCGCAU